GUUGACAUCCAGAGAACUUAGCAGAGAUGCUUGUGCCUUCGGGAACUCUGAGACAGGUGCUGCAUGGCUGUCGUCAGCUCGUGUUGUGAAAUGUUGGGUUAAGUCCGCAACGAGCGCAACCCUUAUCCUUUGUUGCCAGCGGUUCGGCCGGGAACUCAAAGGAGACUGCCGGUGAUAAACCGGAGGAAGGUGGGGAUGACGUCAAGUCAUCAUGGCCCUUACGGCCGGGGCUACACACGUGCUACAAUGGCGCAUACAAAGAGAAGCGACCUCGCGAGAGCAAGCGGACCUCAUAAAGUGCGUCGUAGUCCGGAUUGGAGUCUGCAACUCGACUCCAUGAAGUCGGAAUCGCUAGUAAUCGUAGAUCAGAAUGCUACGGUGAAUACGUUCCCGGGCCUUGUACACACCGCCCGUCACACCAUGGGAGUGGGUUGCAAAAGAAGUAGGUAGCUUAACCUUCGGGAGGGCGCUUACCACUUUGUGAUUCAUGACUGGGGUGAAGUCGUAACAAGGUAGGCGUAGCGAG
Molecule: ribosomal RNA, 526 nt
Filed under: uncultured bacterium
Lineage: Bacteria
Description: bacterial SSU rRNA
Rfam family: Bacterial small subunit ribosomal RNA
Source: RNAcentral